AAGGUAGCUUGCUACUGGACCUAGCGGCGGACGGGUGAGUAAUGCUUAGGAAUCUGCCUAUUAGUGGGGGACAACAUUCCGAAAGGAAUGCUAAUACCGCAUACGCCCUACGGGGGAAAGCAGGGGAUCUUCGGACCUUGCGCUAAUAGAUGAGCCUAAGUCGGAUUAGCUAGUUGGUGGGGUAAAGGCCUACCAAGGCGACGAUCUGUAGCGGGUCUGAGAGGAUGAUCCGCCACACUGGGACUGAGACACGGCCCAGACUCCUACGGGAGGCAGCAGUGGGGAAUAUUGGACAAUGGGCGGAAGCCUGAUCCAGCCAUGCCGCGUGUGUGAAGAAGGCCUUUUGGUUGUAAAGCACUUUAAGCGAGGAGGAGGCUCCUUUAGUUAAUACCUAAAGUGAGUGGACGUUACUCGCAGAAUAAGCACCGGCUAACUCUGUGCCAGCAGCCGCGGUAAUACAGAGGGUGCGAGCGUUAAUCGGAUUUACUGGGCGUAAAGCGUGCGUAGGCGGCUUUUUAAGUCGGAUGUGAAAUCCCUGAGCUUAACUUAGGAAUUGCAUUCGAUACUGGAAAGCUAGAGUAUGGGAGAGGAUGGUAGAAUUCCAGGUGUAGCGGUGAAAUGCGUAGAGAUCUGGAGGAAUACCGAUGGCGAAGGCAGCCAUCUGGCCUAAUACUGACGCUGAGGUACGAAAGCAUGGGGAGCAAACAGGAUUAGAUACCCUGGUAGUCCAUGCCGUAAACGAUGUCUACUAGCCGUUGGGGCCUUUGAGGCUUUAGUGGCGCAGCU
This 786-nucleotide ribosomal RNA is filed under the name uncultured bacterium. Its description in RNAcentral is "SSU rRNA". It matches the Rfam family "Bacterial small subunit ribosomal RNA", at positions 72 to 853 of the family's 1533-position model. The record is from RNAcentral.